Long non-coding RNA from Phyllostomus hastatus (greater spear-nosed bat), 1215 nucleotides. RefSeq lists it as uncharacterized. Lineage: Eukaryota; Metazoa; Chordata; Mammalia; Chiroptera; Phyllostomidae. The transcript has 3 exons. The record is from RefSeq and is a predicted model, not a curated record.
ACCCUUGUAGCCAGUUCUGUUUAAACUGACAUCUGCUGAAGAGGUUGAGGCCAGACAGCUGCCCAGGUUCCUGUUUCUCCGAGAGGAGAAGUAAUCUGCCCAUUUAAAAAUGCCAAUAAAAAUAAAACUUAAAAGGUAACACUUCUUUCCUCUACCUGUACGGAUGCCAACAACUUCUCACCUCCCAGCCCUCUGCCAGCUGGGCCUGCGCCAUCACCACGGCUCACCCGGACUGUUACAACAGCACCUGCGACUGACUCCCCACACAACAAACAGCCCGAGACAUCCUUUGAGAAGAUGAUGAAAUCACCAGAGCCCAGACUACUUAAGGAGCCCACCAGUUGCCAGCAAGCGAUGGAACCAUGUGACCCAAGCGCACUUCAUCCUGCUUGCAAACCAGGCGACCUGCCAGACUCUGCUCUCACAGUUAGUGGAGAGAGGCCCCGUUUGUGCCUGCAGGAGACACACGGAUCCUGAGGAGCUCUAGGCAGGUAAGAAACAUAUUAAGAAAGAGAGAUGGUUAGAGUGAAACCCUGCCUUUCCCAGCAGGCAGGGUGAGAGCAGAAAAGGGUGGUUACCUGGACCAUCCCUGCCAUGGAGUGAAGCCUCGUGGUGGCUACCGGACCUCCAUGAGCUCACAUGGCUGCGAAGCUGGCAUCCUGUAAGUGCAUACGAUGAUGGGUAAGCCAGUCGACCCUGCAGGGGUUCUCUGGUGGACAUGGCCCCUGGCACACAUCAGCACAGCUUCUUGGGUUGUAGGACAUUUCCGAGACUGGAGCAAGUAUGCCAUUGCUUUCCCUAAAGCCUUUGCCUUCUCCUUUCCCUUUGUUGCAUUCAUCCCAGUUGGGGGAUGGUGGGACAGGCUGAGUUUUUAGAAACCAUUCCCUGGCUGUUUUUGCUCCCUGGGCCACCAUGUCUACAAAAUCUGAGUACAAUCCUGGAGUCCAGAUUGAACACAACCCUGCAACAGUCUAUAAGCUCCUUUCAGCUCCAUAUUCCUAGUGGGCAUGUCAUGGAUGCAUAAUCAGUAACUACUGAAAUAGUAUGGAGUUAGUGAGUGAGGCUCAAAAGGUGUAUGUUAGGUUUGAUUGAAUGGAGUUAUGCUUACAAACAAGAAGACCCGACUCAGAAUUCUUUUGCUAUGAGGGGGUUGUAAUGGUCUUCUGCCACUCCUCUGAAGUCCUGAGUGAUGCUAUUGUUACAGGGUGCAGCCAA